RNAcentral lists this non-coding RNA (26 nucleotides) under Cricetulus griseus (Chinese hamster). The record is from RNAcentral. Lineage: Eukaryota; Metazoa; Chordata; Mammalia; Rodentia; Cricetidae.
UCAAAGGUUGUCGUUGAGUUCUGACU